AUCCAGUUGACGAGUCCAAAACAGGAUGAAACGCGCUUUGUCCAGGAU
This 48-nucleotide non-coding RNA is filed under the name Schistosoma mansoni. The record is from RNAcentral. Lineage: Eukaryota; Metazoa; Platyhelminthes; Trematoda; Strigeidida; Schistosomatidae.